AAUAAAGUAGUAUAAAAUAAAUAUAAUUAGUUUACACCUAAUAGAUAAAAAUUUUCUUUAUUU
RNAcentral lists this transfer RNA (63 nucleotides) under Obama sp. MAP-2014. RNAcentral describes it as "tRNA-Val". Lineage: Eukaryota; Metazoa; Platyhelminthes; Tricladida; Geoplanidae. The record is from RNAcentral.